UUAAGUUAAUAAGGGCGCACGGUGGAUGCCUUGGCACUAGGAGCCGAUGAAGGACGGGACUAACACCGAUAUGCUUUGGGGAGCUGUAAGUAAGCUAUGAUCCAGAGAUUUCCGAAUGGGGGAACCCAAUAUCUUUUAUAGGAUAUUACUUUUCAGUGAAUACAUAGCUGAUUAGAGGUAGACGCAGAGAACUGAAACAUCUUAGUACCUGCAGGAAGAGAAAGAAAAUUCGAUUCCCUGAGUAGCGGCGAGCGAAACGGGAAGAGCCCAAACCAACAAGCUUGCUUGUUGGGGUUGUAGGACUCCAAUAUGGUAGUCUGUUAGUAUAGUUGAAGGAUUUGGAAAAUUCCGCUAAAGAGGGUGAAAGCCCCGUAGACGAAAUGCUAACAACACCUAGGAGGAUCCUGAGUACGGCGGAACACGAGAAAUUCCGUCGGAAUCCGCGGGGACCAUCCCGCAAGGCUAAAUACUCCCUAGUGACCGAUAGUGAACCAGUACCGUGAGGGAAAGGUGAAAAGCACCCCGGGAGGGGAGUGAAAUAGAACCUGAAACCGUGUGCCUACAACAAGUUCGAGCCCGUUAAUGGGUGAGAGCGUGCCUUUUGUAGAAUGAACCGGCGAGUUACGAUAUGAUGCGAGGUUAAGUUGAAGAGACGGAGCCGUAGGGAAACCGAGUCUUAAUAGGGCGCAUUAGUAUCAUGUCGUAGACCCGAAACCAUGUGACCUACCCAUGAGCAGGUUGAAGGUGCGGUAAGACGCACUGGAGGACCGAACCAGGGCACGUUGAAAAGUGCUUGGAUGACUUGUGGGUAGCGGAGAAAUUCCAAACGAACUUGGAGAUAGCUGGUUCUCUCCGAAAUAGCUUUAGGGCUAGCGUCGAUGUUAAGUCUCUUGGAGGUAGAGCACUGUUUGGGUGAGGGGUCCAUCCCGGAUUACCAAUCUCAGAUAAACUCCGAAUGCCAAUGAAUUAUGGUCGGCAGUCAGACUGCGAGUGCUAAGAUCCGUAGUCGAAAGGGAAACAGCCCAGACCACCAGCUAAGGUCCCAAAAUAUAUGUUAAGUGGAAAAGGAUGUGGGGUUGCACAGACAACUAGGAUGUUAGCUUAGAAGCAGCUAUUCAUUCAAAGAGUGCGUAAUAGCUCACUAGUCGAGUGACCCUGCGCCGAAAAUGUACCGGGGCUAAAACAUAUUACCGAAGCUGUGGAUACCUUUAUAGGUAUGGUAGGAGAGCGUUCUAUGUGCGAAGAAGGUGUACCGUGAGGAGUGCUGGAGCGCAUAGAAGUGAGAAUGCCGGUAUGAGUAGCGAAAGACAGGUGAGAAUCCUGUCCACCGUAAGACUAAGGUUUCCAGGGGAAGGCUCGUCCGCCCUGGGUUAGUCGGGACCUAAGGAGAGACCGAAAGGUGUAUCCGAUGGACAACAGGUUGAUAUUCCUGUACUAGAGUAUGUAGUGAUGGAGGGACGCAGUAGGCUAACUAAAGCAGACGAUUGGAAGAGUCUGUCUAAGCAGUGAGGUGUGAAUUGAGUCAAAUGCUUAGUUCUAUAACAUUGAGCUGUGAUGGGGAGCGAAGUUUAGUAGCGAAGUUAGUGACGUCACACUGCCAAGAAAAGCUUCUAGCGUUUAAACAUACUCUACCCGUACCGCAAACCGACACAGGUAGUCGAGGCGAGUAGCCUCAGGUGAGCGAGAGAACUCUCGUUAAGGAACUCGGCAAAAUGACCCCGUAACUUCGGGAGAAGGGGUGCUGACUUUACGUCAGCCGCAGUGAAUAGGCCCAAGCAACUGUUUAUCAAAAACACAGCUCUCUGCUAAAUCGUAAGAUGAUGUAUAGGGGGUGACGCCUGCCCGGUGCUGGAAGGUUAAGAGGAGUGCUUAGCGUAAGCGAAGGUAUGAAUUGAAGCCCCAGUAAACGGCGGCCGUAACUAUAACGGUCCUAAGGUAGCGAAAUUCCUUGUCGGGUAAGUUCCGACCCGCACGAAAGGUGUAACGACUUGCGCACUGUCUCAACGAGGGACCCGGUGAAAUUGAAGUACCUGUGAAGAUGCAGGUUACCCGCGACUGGACAGAAAGACCCCAUGGAGCUUUACUGCAACCUAAGAUUGAACUUAGUUAAUGAAUGUACAGGAUAGGUGGGAGACGUAGAACCUAGGACGCCAGUUUUAGGGGAGUCGCUGUUGGGAUACCACCCUUUCAUUAAUUGAUUUCUAACGGGCCGAGUAACGACCGGCCGGACAGUCUUAGGCGGGCAGUUUGACUGGGGCGGUCGCCUCCAAAAGAGUAACGGAGGCGCCCAAAGGUUCCCUCAGAGCGGACGGAAAUCGCUCGAAGAGUGUAAAGGCAGAAGGGAGCUUGACUGCGAGACGGACAGGUCGAGCAGGGACGAAAGUCGGGCUUAGUGAUCCGGUGGUGCCGAGUGGAAGGGCCAUCGCUCAACGGAUAAAAGCUACCCUGGGGAUAACAGGCUAAUCUCUCCCAAGAGUCCAUAUCGACGGGGAGGUUUGGCACCUCGAUGUCGGCUCAUCACAUCCUGGGGCUGAAGUAGGUCCCAAGG
RNAcentral lists this ribosomal RNA (2548 nucleotides) under human gut metagenome. RNAcentral describes it as "bacterial LSU rRNA". It matches the Rfam family "Bacterial large subunit ribosomal RNA", at positions 3 to 2570 of the family's 2925-position model. The record is from RNAcentral.